UACGUAGGGGCCUAGCGUUGUCCGGAUUUAUUGGGCGUAAAGAGCUCGUAGGCGGCACGGUUAGUCAGGUGUGAAAUCUCCACGCUCAACGUGGAGGGGUCACCUGAUACUGCCGAGCUUGAGUCCGGUAGGGGAGUGCGGAAUUCCCGGUGUAGUGGUGAAAUGCGUAGAUAUCGGGAGGAACACCAGUGGCGAAGGCGACUUCCUGGCCUGUUCUUGACGCUGAGGCGCGAAAGCUAGGGGAGCAAACGGG
RNAcentral lists this ribosomal RNA (253 nucleotides) under uncultured bacterium. RNAcentral describes it as "partial 16S ribosomal RNA". It matches the Rfam family "Bacterial small subunit ribosomal RNA", at positions 524 to 776 of the family's 1533-position model. The record is from RNAcentral.